This 102-nucleotide microRNA precursor is filed under the name Marmota monax (woodchuck). The record is from RNAcentral. Lineage: Eukaryota; Metazoa; Chordata; Mammalia; Rodentia; Sciuridae.
AGUGGGAUAACUGGGUCAAAUGGUGGUUUCAUUCCAAUUUUCCAAGGAAUCUCCAUACUGUUUUUUAGAUUGGCUGCACCAAUUUGCAAUCCCACCAGCAAU